This 434-nucleotide ribosomal RNA is filed under the name uncultured bacterium. RNAcentral's name for it is "partial 16S ribosomal RNA". It matches the Rfam family "Bacterial small subunit ribosomal RNA", at positions 29 to 507 of the family's 1533-position model. The record is from RNAcentral.
AACGAACGCUGGCGGCAUGCCUAACACAUGCAAGUCGAACGAACCUUUCGGGGUUAGUGGCGGACGGGUGAGUAACACGUGGGAACGUGCCUUUAGGUUCGGAAUAACUCACGGAAACGUGUGCUAAUACCGAAUGUGGCCUUCGGGGGAAAGAUUUAUCGCCUUUAGAUGGGCCCGCGUCUGAUUAGCUAGUUGGUUGAGGUAAUGGCUCACCAAGGCGACGAUCAGUAGCUGGUCUGAGAGGAUGAUCAGCCACAUUGGGACUGAGACACGGCCCAAACUCCUACGGGAGGCAGCAGUGGGGAAUCUUGCGCAAUGGGCGAAAGCCUGACGCAGCCAUGCCGCGUGAAUGAUGAAGGUCUUAGGAUUGUAAAAUUCUUUCACCGGGGACGAUAAUGACGGUACCGGGAGAAUAAGCCCCGGCUAACUUCGUG